Molecule: long non-coding RNA, 2973 nt
Organism: Chelonia mydas (Green sea turtle)
Lineage: Eukaryota; Metazoa; Chordata; Testudines; Cheloniidae
Exons: 5
Source: RefSeq, a predicted model, not a curated record
GUUUCGCCUCACCAACAUUUUUAAUUUCCGGUCUGACCCCAAACAAACCAUUUGGGGGUUGACUUUUUAAAAUGACCAAUGACCCAAAACCGUAUAAUGUUGUGACUUGCCCAGCUCUAGUUUAACUGUGCCCCAGGUGGAUGCCAGCCCUUUAACGGUUUGGGGUAGGGCGUGAAAUGGUUUUUGCAAUGCCGUUUCCCUGAGUGUGAAUUAUGGAGGAAAUAACAAAGUUAUUGGUUUUGGUAGUGGGACCAGACUAACAAUAAAGGCUAGUAAGUAAGGGGACGUUCAUAGCAUACAUCUUUGUGCAAAAUCCAUGUACAAUGGAUGGCUCAGUGGACAGGGAAUGGGAUAUUAGGGCCUUUCGUUUCUAGGGGGUGCUGUUUUCAAUUUGCCCCAGAUCUGGGAUGGGAUAUGGGGCUUUUCAUAGCUAGGGGGGGUCGUUGCAAUCCAGUCCCAAGUCAGGGGGGACCGGCUGGCUCAGGAAAGUUGGGGAGUAGAAUGGGGGCAUUUCAGAUGUACAUGGUACUGAUUCCAUCCAGAGGGACCAGUGAGGUCAGGGGAUAGGAUCUGAUUCCUUUUGCUUCUAGGACACUUGUACCAACCCAGCCCAAGGCUGAGGGAAUAGCUGGCUUGGAGAGGAUGGGCAAUCAGAUACGACCCUCACACCUCAAGGGCGUGAGCACCAAUCUGGCUGAAAGGUUUCUACGCUGGCCUGCAUGGAAGAAGUUUGGUCCAAGGUUGCAACUGAACAGACAUUCACCUCUGCGUCACCACUAGGGCUGGCCUCCCCGUGGACGGCUCAAGGACUGAAUGGUCCCUGGACUUCCCUGUGACGUCUAGGCAAGGCCCUGGCAGUGGAAAGUUGAGAUCUUGAAAGAUCUAACGCUUCUAUCUACCGAGUGAAGUCCCAAAAUGGGAUCUACUCAGCUUGCCUUAUCACGGACUUCUCCCCUGGCAACAUCGAAGUUGGGUUCUCAGAGAAAUCUCUUACAGAAGUCAAUGCCUCCGUUGUGCAGGUGAAAAACCCAGACAGCGGAGAAAUGGAAGCAAGCUAUGGGACGGUGCUCUUGGUAGACCAGGAGAACACUCGCUGCAUUGCUAAACAAGGAUGGGAACAGACAACGUGACGGAGAGUGCUGAGGAAGGUGACACAUGCAAGAUAAUGGAGCUGGAUGACAAUUUUGAGACAGACAAUCAGCUAAACCUCCUGUCAUUCACGCUGCUGGGCCUGAGAAUCGUUUUUGUGAAAGGAGUGGCACUUAACCUGCUCCUGACCUUCUGGCUGUGGAAAAGCUAAAGAGUGGAAGGAAAGAGGACAGAUCUGGAGUGAUGGAAUCUGGAGUGAUGGGAAUUCCUCAGAGACCUGGUGUCAUCUCUUCACCUUCCCAUGCAUCAGGAAAUAUAAUGAAAUGAAUGGUCCCCAUAUCACCUCUGUAUAUAGGCCUGAUGUAUAAUGAUCUGACGUGCUUUCACUUAGCAAGUUUUAGAAGGAUCUCACCUACCUAGCCUGGUUUUUCCAUGACUCUCCUCCCUUUCACCCUCCACAGAUUGACACAUUUAUCCUCACAAGCUCCCAGUGUGGGGAAAGGAAUUGCUAUUAACUAGAGCUGGUCAACAAAUGUGCGUGAAAACAUUUUUCGAUGGAAAACUGGGUUUCAAUUUUUUUGGCAGAAAGUCCCCAUUUUCCUAGAAAAAAACUUCAAAUUUUCAUCAGAAACUGAAAAUGUUUGGCUAAAAACUGAAUAUUUUUCAGUCUGGUUUUUUUACAGUUUUUGGCUACAAGAUUUUUCAGCUUUUGUCUGAAAAUUUUCAGUUUUCAGUUGUCAAACACCAAAACCAACUUUUUUAAACAAUUUUUUUCCAGUGCAAAUUUCAACAAAAGUGAAUAUUUUUUUAGUCUUCAUUGAAAUUUUCUGCAGAACAAACCAGCUUUACCAUUAACCCUAUUUUGAAAAGGGGAAAUUGAAGCACAGAGACACUGAGGCUGAGAUUUUCAAAGCCUAAGGGCUUUGGGCACCUGUUUCCCUUUGAAAUCAGUGGGAAUUGUGCAUUAAAAUCCCCUAGGUUGAAUUUUACACUCUCUGCCACACACUGGGAUUUUCAAAGGUGCCUCGCAGAAUGAGGCACCCAUCUCCACUUGAAAUUCAAUAGCAUUUAGGCAGCUAGUUCCUUUGAAAAUCCAGCCAACACAUUUCUGAUCGUAGUGGGUUCUUUAAGUUGACGCUAGACAAAUUCAGCCUGGCAAUAAAGUGCACAUUAACAGUGAGGGUAAUUAACAAUUGGACUGUCUUAACUAGGCGUGUGUGGAUUUCCCCUCGCUUGUGCUCUUUACAUCAAGACAGGAUGUCUUUCCAAAAGGCCCGCUGUAGUUCACCUAGACGUUAUGGGCUCAAAGCAGGGAUCAGCGGGCAAAACUCUCUGGCUUGUGUUAUAGGCAGGAAGUUGGGCUAGACCAGAAUGGUCCCAUCUGGCCUCUGUGACUUGAAGAAACUUGUACACAUGACCCCAUGUGUCUCUAACCGUCCCUGCUCUGCAGAAUUUGAGGCCAGAUCUCCGGGUGGUAGAAUUCUUCCAGCAAUUCUGGAAGAGCUGCUUUAGCCAAGCACCAGAUGUGCUUGAGUCACAUGCAGGUUCUGGGCCCAUUGCAGGGGAGAUGUAAUAGCCAGGAAGUCGGACUAGUCUUUCCUGCCAUAAACGCUAUGAAUUUAUACCAGCUCUGGCCUGAACCUAGCUUUUAUGUUUCAAAUCUGCAUUUAUACCGACCUUUAGCUCUGUUAACCUGAUCUCCCUAUUUUCAGCCUUUCUAAAUUGUGAUAUUUGCUCAUGUUUAUGCUUUGGAAAAGAUUUUAUCUUUUUUUUUUUUUCAUUUCCUGCCGAGCUUCUUUGUAUCGCAUUGAGGAGAUGAUAAUGUACUCCCAUUUCCUUUCUGGUCCGCCCUGGGCUGCUAUUAAAGAACUUGGCUGACCGUGA